This 5358-nucleotide long non-coding RNA is filed under the name Homo sapiens (human). RNAcentral describes it as "non-protein coding lnc-FLI1-6:1". The record is from RNAcentral. Lineage: Eukaryota; Metazoa; Chordata; Mammalia; Primates; Hominidae.
AGAGGAUGGAAUGCUUCACCAGGAGACACAAGAAUAAUUUCCUUGACCUGGGAGUUAAGACUGCCACCCAGCCACCUUGUGCUCUCCAUGCUGCUGAUUCAACAGGCAAAUAAGGAAGUUAUGGUGUGGGCUACAGUGAUUGAUCUGACUAACAAGAGGGAAAUUGCUCCACCAUGGGGGUGAGGGAGAGUACAUCUGGAAUACAGAAGUUCCCUUAGGACACCCUUAGUGUUCCCACACAUUGCGAUUAAGGCCAGUGGAAAACUACAAUAACUCAGUUCAGGCGGAACAACUCAUGGGGCAGAAUCUUCAAGGAAUGAAGAUUUGAGUCCUUCUACCAGGUUUUGCAGAGUGCCUCCAGAAAUAAAAGUGUUACAAAAGAAUCACUUCAGAAAACCUACACUUAGAGAGUCCAUUUGAAAAUUGCCCUAUUUGAAAUGAAGUGGAGAUCAGUAAUAACAAGGACUUCCCCAUAUAACCCAAGGUCCUACUGGGUUAGUGUGAUCUUCUGCGGAAGGCUGCAGCUGCUGUCAGGAGGCCCUCUGUCUACACUCCUCUCUGGAGAAGUGUAAGUGUUUUGUCAGGUAAAUACUUCGUCACUCUCCAGCGUAGCAGUGAGAAUCAUCCCUCCUAUCUCUAGCAUCAGAGUCCCUCCUAUUGUUUCUAACCACCCACCCCCCGUAUCCUUGUAAAUAAUCUCUUUAUUAAAUUGUCUGCAAAUUACUUCAUUUUAAUGUGCUGUCCAUUUCCUUUUGGGACCCUGGCUGAUAUUGAUACUGAUGUUGGGUAAUUACUGAUUAUUGAUACUGAUAGUUGACACUGAUACCGAUAAUAAUUAUUAUUAAUAGCUAAUAUCCAUAAUUUGAUACUGAUUAUCAGAAAAGGAUACUGACACUCUAGGAUAUUAGCAGGAUCAGUAAAUACUGACACUGAUACUGAUAUUAAUACUGGCUGCUACUGCUAGGUAAUUACUAGGUCUGUCUAUCAAUCUAUCCAUCUAUCUAGGAUGUUCUCACUCUUGUAAAUAUCUCUAUAAAGCCUUGUCAAACAGAAAAAGGAGACAAUGUGAAAGGGUCUUGUGUACAUUUAGUCUCUAUUCAUCUAUUACAAGUUUCCUUUCUAAACCAAAUAGUUCUAUAUUGUUUUGGAGACUAUCUAACCCUCAUUAAUUAGCUGUUUUAUUUCUAUUUCUUUAUUGCUCAUAUAUAACAAUAGGAAAACUUGGUUAGUCAGUUAAUUAACAAAUAUUUAGUAAUGUAUAUUAUUAUAUGACUUGAGACAUGAUAAACAUGUUCUAAAAGUGUGGAACACAACAUUUGAUAAGAAAGGCAGAAUCUCCAUCUUCAAAGAGAUUGCAUUAUAGUGGAAAGAGCCAGACAAUAUAUAAAUAUAUAAACCAAGAAAUAAGAUCAUUAAGGUACUGAUAAGUGUUAUGAAGAAGAUGAAACGGGGUGAUUUUGACAGACAUUGACUGUAACAGGACCAGUUGUUUUAGAGAGCAUCAGAGCAGCUCUUCAUGAGGAGGAGCAUCAGAGAAGCUCUUCAUGAGGAGGAGCCUCAUGAAGGUGAAACCUAAAUGAUGAGAAGCCAGCUAUGUAAGAGGAGCAUUUGACACAGAAGGAACCAUAAGUACAAAUGUAAUGAGAUGAGAAAUUUCUUUGGUAUGUUGAAGACAUCAGGACAGGUGAGUAGCAUGCACCUGUGUCCCAGCUACACCAGAGGCUGAGGCAGGAGGAUUGUGUGAGCCCAGGAGCUUGAGGAUGCAGUGAGUUAUGACCAUAGCACUGCACUCCAUCCUUUUGUGAUGUCUUUUUUUUUUUAAGAAACGUCACUGUGUUCCGGGUGACAGAGCAAGAUGACAUUUCUGAAAAAAAAAUGGGGGGACAUCACAAAAGACCAUGGAUAAAACUAAGUAAACCAGAGAAACAAGAAGGAAGAGAGAGAGAUGAAUUGGGUGCAUUGGCAAAGCCAGAUAAUGUUAGAAUGACCAGGCCAUGGGAAGAGUCAGGUUCAAAACAUACUUAGAAGCCACUGGAGACUUUUAAAUGGGCAUAGGAGGAUCUGAUUUGUAGUUUAGAAUGAUUUCUCUGGCUGCUGCGUGUAGAACAGAUCCUAUGUAAGGGAGCAAAUGUGGAGGCAGAAAAGCUACUGCAGAGGUGAUAACAUUAGCUAAAAGAUCACAGUAUCUGGGGAAAGGGUGGUUGCGGUAGAGAGAGUAAAAAGUAGUUGGUUUCAGAAUACAUUUUAAUGGAAAUGGAAUAGCAGACUGAUGAUUGGAUAAUGGGAAUUGAGGGAAAUCAAGGAAUCCAGAAUGACUUGUAAAUUUUUGUUCUAAGAAAUUGAGUGGAUAAUGAUGGCAUUUACUUAAAUAGCAAAUACUUGUGGAGGUAAAUUCUGGAUAUGUGGGGCAACCAAGGGUUUUGUUGAUGCCAUGUAAACUUUGGCAUGCCAAUUAGAUACGAAGAGAUACUGAGUGGAAAGCUGGAUACUCAGGGGACCACAGUCUUCUGUUUCCUGGAUUUCAGGUCCCUUUUAAACUGAAGCAUAGUGAGAACAAGUGUAAAGCACAACACAGACGGAAGAUUGCACCUUAGCUCACUGCCCCGUGCACCCCGGUUACACCGUCUAAGAAAACACUCUGGAUUCAAUCCUUGGAAAAGUAGUAUGUGCUGAGCUACCACUUCUGGAAGAGUCUUUCCUGGUUAAUUACUUGAAACCUGUUGCAUUGGGAAUUUCUCAGAAAGUCUGCCUUGAUGAGCUUUACUCAAGAGCCGCAACUUCACGGAUCGGACAACAGAAAAGACUUCGGCAGUUACCAAAUCUGAAGUACUCAUUGUGCAUGCUAGCAAUCUGGGACUAAUAAGGUUAAAUUGUCUGAGACCUCAAGGUGGAAGUGACAGUUUGUCUCCAUGAGGUCAUACAGCUGCUUGAGGUUGCUCGGAGAGUAAGAAGCAGAAUGAGAACUAGAACAGAAGCUCACUUUGGCCUGAAGGCUCAUGUGCUGAGCAUCUUCCCUUGUCUGUCUCCACCCCUAGCCUGGUGCCCAGCAUGUAGAAGACCUUCAUCCUAGAUGCAAUGGGAUUAAACUUGGAGAAAAUGGGAUUAAACUUGGACAAACACUACCUAUUUGGACUUGUGAUGAUGGCUUUCAAACUUCUUAAAGCAAUGAAGUAUUUUUUCCAGAAGAAACCUUACACAAGAAGCCCAGCACACUGAGUCAAGCAUAUGUAGGUGGAAGAUAUCUGGUUGAGACCAAGUAGAGAUAAACCUGUAGAUUCAACUGUGCCACCACAGUGAAUUCUAAGAAUCCACUGACUGUGAUCUGUAAGCUCCUACUCCACAGGAGGUCAGGGCACACAGCUUGAAACCGGAAGGCAGAAGAGUGACAGGGAAGGGUCAUGGACUCUGAAAUUAGAGCUAUCUGUGUUUUAAUACUAGUUCCAAUAGGCACAUGGUCUUGGAUAAAUGGUUUAAAUUAUCUGAGUCUCAAUUUCUUUCUCUGCAAAAAGGGAUGAUUAGUACAUAUGUAAUAGGGUUUUUAUAGAAAAUUGUAUAACUUGUUAAACACACAUGUACUAAGUGCUUGGUGCCCAGUAUGCACUGAAUAAAUGCUAGCUCCUUGCCUUUCAUCUCUAUGACCCUUCCCAAAUCUCUCAGCCCCAUAUUGCUUCAUGUAGUGUGUGUAUAUUUGGGAAAAUUUGUGUGCAUAUUUACAGAUGGGAUCCUACUCUUCUAUUGACAGACUGUCUUUUCAGAUGUGCCUUACUUUCAUUGCAUUGGUUUUUCAACUGAAAGUGAACAUAAAGGUUUUAAGCAUGCCUAGGUCUUAUCUUUUUGGUCAAAUAUCUAACACCCUCAAUAACAGUUGUAAAUCAUUCUUUUGUAAUUUGAUCAUUCAUUUUUAUAAAGUAAAACACAACUGCCCACUGUAAAAAUAGACUUCAUUUGCUCUUUUCUUCCAGUGCAGCAAAUGACAGACACUUUAAGAACACACAUUUAACUUCAGCAAACAAAUCAUGUAUAUUUUAGACAUAACUGUCAAGUAUAGAAAUGAUACCAUCCAACUUACCAAACUAUCACAUAAGAAUGCCCAAUAGCAGACAUUAGGAUGGGGCAAAACUGAAAGAAGGAUUGACUUCAUCAAACCCUUGAUGACAUACAAAAUGGAAACCAUUCAAGUUCAACUGAAGAAAACGAUAUCCCACAAGAUCUAGGGGUAAAAAGCAGACAAAGUUUAGGAAUGAAUUUAAACUACUGACUUACGUGUUGUCAGGAGUCUAUUUCUAUUCCUCAAUUUUACUCCUUUUUGUACAACUGUGUGCAUUCUCUCUCUGACUCUCUCUUCCUCCCUCCCAACACCCCCCACCCUCUUCUUGUUGCUGUUUCUCUCUAUUUCUUCAGAUCAAAGGGUUGAUCUCUUCCAAAUGUACAUAUUACAGAUCCACACUCUUAGAAAAACAACAGAAUCUCUCUAGUGCUUAAUUUAAUUUGUCCAUCUAAAAGAUAUUACUUGGCCCAAUUUGACCAAGCACCAUCUACUGGACCAAAUAAUGGUGGCCAGAGAAGCAUGGUCACAAUGGGGAAUGGGAAUAAGAUGGGGAUCAUAUGGGGACUAAGAAUGGGCAAGAACAUCUCCCAGAGUGGUAAGAGAAACAAUCUAAUGGGCAUAUAUUCCCAGUGUCCUCAAAUACUCCUCUACCCUAAAUUGCUUGCUCUGCUCUUGGGCCUUUGGAUGUGCUGACCUGAGUAGUGGUAACAAGUUCAGAAUUGUAGGGAAAGGGCUAUGAGUUUAUAUUUUAAGGGCAGAGAGUGGCAUUUAUGCAGUGGAAACACAUGGAAGAUGAGUAGGAUUGUGAAGGAUAAACUUGGGAAAAGAACAAUGACCUGAAGAGUACUAAUAAAUGCAGGGAUGGGUGACCAGAAAGAAAGGAUAGAUAGGAGGAAAAUCUUAGAGUAAAACUGGCAAAAGUUCACGGCCAGUUUAGUUAAUGGAAUCAAGGACAGUGAAAACGCAAUGAUAACUUCAGUGUUCUGGUUCUGAUGACCAAAGAAGGUCAUCAUUGUGAUGGAUAUUUUCUCUUAUUUCAUAACCUCUGCUCUAUGCUCUGUGUGAUUCCUCUCCUUCCAUUCAACUUGCCUUGCAUUUUCCGGAGUCUACUCCUUGGCUAAAUAGGGUCCUUCUUUCUCAGUAGCCCUUACUACCGAAUUAAAUCAUGGUGCCAGGGCUCAUUCUGCUUUGUUUCUGGAAACCUGCCAAGCAUGCUCCUGCCUUGGGGGCUUGCACUGAUUCGUUGCUCCAUAUUGAAAUGUUAUUUGCAUGGUCACCUGUGGCCCUGAUAUGGUUUGGCUGUGUCCCCA